AUACGCGUAGAACCUUACCUGGACUUGACAUAUAGGGAAAAGCUAAAGAAGUUUAGUGUGCGUAAGCGCCCUAUACAGGUGGUGCAUGGCCGUCG
This 95-nucleotide ribosomal RNA is filed under the name uncultured marine bacterium. RNAcentral describes it as "partial small subunit ribosomal RNA". The record is from RNAcentral.